GUCUCCAUAGUUAAAUGGAUAUAACGGCUCCCUCCUAAGGAGCAGUUCCUGGUUCGAUUCCGGGUGGGGACG
RNAcentral lists this transfer RNA (72 nucleotides) under Azospira sp. I13. It matches the Rfam family "tRNA". From Rfam's summary of the family: Transfer RNA (tRNA) molecules are approximately 80 nucleotides in length. Their secondary structure includes four short double-helical elements and three loops (D, anti-codon, and T loops). Lineage: Bacteria; Pseudomonadati; Pseudomonadota; Betaproteobacteria; Rhodocyclales; Rhodocyclaceae. The record is from Rfam by way of RNAcentral.